RNAcentral lists this ribosomal RNA (833 nucleotides) under Arthrobacter sp. RNAcentral describes it as "bacterial SSU rRNA". It matches the Rfam family "Bacterial small subunit ribosomal RNA", at positions 527 to 1356 of the family's 1533-position model. The record is from RNAcentral. Lineage: Bacteria; Bacillati; Actinomycetota; Actinomycetes; Micrococcales; Micrococcaceae.
GGAGCGCUUUUUCGUAAUACGAUAUUGGGCGUAAAGAGCUCGUAGGCGGUUUGUCGCGUCUGCUGUGAAAGACCGGGGCUCAACUCCGGUUCUGCAGUGGGUACGGGCAGACUAGAGUGCAUUAGGGGAGACUGGAAUUCCUGGUGUAGCGGUGAAAUGCGCAGAUAUCAGGAGGAACACCGAUGGCGAAGGCAGGUCUCUGGGCUGUAACUGACGCUGAGGAGCGAAAGCAUGGGGAGCGAACAGGAUUAGAUACCCUGGUAGUCCAUGCCGUAAACGUUGGGCACUAGGUGUGGGGGACAUUCCACGUUUUCCGCGCCGUAGCUAACGCAUUAAGUGCCCCGCCUGGGGAGUACGGCCGCAAGGCUAAAACUCAAAGGAAUUGACGGGGGCCCGCACAAGCGGCGGAGCAUGCGGAUUAAUUCGAUGCAACGCGAAGAACCUUACCAAGGCUUGACAUGAACCGGUAAUACCUGGAAACAGGUGCCCCGCUUGCGGUCGGUUUACAGGUGGUGCAUGGUUGUCGUCAGCUCGUGUCGUGAGAUGUUGGGUUAAGUCCCGCAACGAGCGCAACCCUCGUUCUAUGUUUGCCAGCGGUUCGGCCGGGGACUCAUAGGAGACUGCCGGGGUCAACUCGGAGGAAGGUGGGGGACGACGUCAAAUCAUCAUGCCCUCUUAUGUCUUGGGCUUCACGCAUGCUUACAAUGGCCGGUACAAAGGGUUGCGAUACUGUGAGGUGGAGCUAAUCCCAAAAAGCCGGUCUCAGUUCGGAUUGGGGGUCUGCAACUCUACCCAUGAAAGCGAGAGUCGCUAGUAAUCGUAGAAUCUACAAA